GCUGGCGGCGUGCCUAACACAUGCAAGUCGAACGAAGCACUGCAAACGGAGAUUCGUCAAAGUUUGCUUUGACUUAGUGGCGGACGGGUGAGUAAUGUAUGAGCAACCUGCCUUUCAGUGGGGGACAACAGUUGGAAACGACUGCUAAUACCGCAUGAUGUCAAUUGGGGGCGUCCCCGAAUGACCAAAGGAUUUAUUCGCUGAAAGAUGGGCUCAUAUCUGAUUAGCUAGUUGGUGAGGUAACGGCUCACCAAGGCUGCGAUCAGUAGCCGGACUGAGAGGUUGAACGGCCACAUUGGGACUGAGAUACGGCCCAGACUCCUACGGGAGGCAGCAGUGGGGAAUAUUGGGCAAUGGGCGAAAGCCUGACCCAGCAACGCCGCGUGAAGGAAGAAGGUCUUCGGAUUGUAAACUUCUUUUAUGAGGGACGAAGGACGUGACGGUACCUCAUGAAUAAGCCACGGCUAACUACGUGCCAGCAGCCGCGGUAAUACGUAGGUGGCAAGCGUUAUCCGGAUUUACUGGGUGUAAAGGGCGCGUAGGCGGGGAUGCAAGUCAGAUGUGAAAUCUAUGGGCUUAACCCAUAAACUGCAUUUGAAACUGUAUCUCUUGAGUGCUGGAGAGGUAGACGGAAUUCCUUGUGUAGCGGUGAAAUGCGUAGAUAUAAGGAAGAACACCAGUGGCGAAGGCGGUCUACUGGACAGUAACUGACCCUUAGGCCCCAGAGCGUGGGAGCAAACAGGAUAAAUACCUGGUAGUCCCGCUGUAACGAUGAAACUAGUGUGGGGGACUGACCCUUCUACGGUAGCUAGUUUAGCAUUCCGGCUUCGAGUGAAAUCAACUCCCAUGGUGUGACGGGCGGUGAGUACAAGACCCGGGAACGUAUUCACCGUAGCAUGGCUGAUCUACGAUUACUAGCGAUUCCGGCUUCAUGCUCUCGAGUUGCAGAGAACAAUCCGAACUGGGACAUAUUUUAUAGAUUUGCUCCACCUCGCGAUAUUGCGUCUCAUUGUAUAUGCCAUUGUAGCACGUGUGUCGCCCUAGGCAUAAGGGCCAUGAUGACUUGACGUCGUCCACACCUUCCUCCCCCUUACGAAGGCAGUCUAUUUAGAGUGCUCGGCCGAACCGUUAGCAACUAAAUACGUGGGUUGCGCUCGUUGCGGGACUUAACCCAACAUCUCACGACACGAGCUGACGACAGCCGUGCAGCACCUGUCUCAACAUUCUAGCAAGCUAGCACUCUCUUAUCUCUAAGAGAUUUGUUGGAUAUCAAGCCUAGGUAAGGUUCUUCGCGUAUCAUCGAAUUAAACCACAUGCUCCACCGCUUGUGCGGGUCCCCGUCUAUUCCUUUGAGUUUUAAUCUUGCGACCGUACUCCCCAGGCGGUAUACUUAAUCCGUUAGGUGGAUUACUGCCAUGACUAGCACAGCAACAACCAGUAUACAUCGUUUAGGGCGUGGACUACCAGGGUAUCUAAUCCUGUUUGCUCCCCACGCUUUCACGCAUUAGCGUCAGUUAAGUUCCAGUAGAUCGCCUUCGCAUGGGUAUUCUUCUGGAUCUCUACGGAUUUACCCCUACCCAAGAAUUCAUCUACUUUCCUUACUCU
RNAcentral lists this ribosomal RNA (1605 nucleotides) under uncultured rumen bacterium. RNAcentral describes it as "partial 16S ribosomal RNA". The stretch from base 1 to 848 matches the Rfam family "Bacterial small subunit ribosomal RNA". The record is from RNAcentral.